Molecule: long non-coding RNA, 505 nt
Filed under: Homo sapiens (human)
Lineage: Eukaryota; Metazoa; Chordata; Mammalia; Primates; Hominidae
Description: HSALNT0375183
Source: RNAcentral
AUCCUGACAGUGCGACUCCGCGUGCGGCUUCUCCCUGCCAUGGUCUUAGAUUUCAACCUGUCUCAGUGUAUGAAGAGCGAGAAGGAUUCAUUCCAGUGUAAGAACACAGCAGGAAGGUGGCUGCCCCCCACCCCCAACCAAGAAGAUGGCCGUCACCAGGAAACAAACUGGCUUCCACCUUGAUCCUGGACUUCAUCUGUUGUUGAAGCCGCCCAGCUUACAGCAAUGUGUUACGGUGGCCUGAGCUGACUAAGACACCCUACUUGGCAAAAUCUCAGGAUUAUUCUCUACUUUGACUGGAGGACAGAAGAAGCUGAGAAGUGGAGGUACUACUUUCUUGUCAGGGUCGUGGGGCCCCAGAGAAGACUGAAUUCAUAACCUCAGCAAAUCUGCCAUGGCAAGCUCAGGUCUCUGAACACCAGGGCCAGGAUACCGGGGCCAGUGAACAUGGAAAUCUUGACUCCCUAGAUGCCUCCAACCCUCUGAGCCUACAGGAGUGGCCUGU